This 431-nucleotide ribosomal RNA is filed under the name uncultured bacterium. RNAcentral's name for it is "partial 16S ribosomal RNA". It matches the Rfam family "Bacterial small subunit ribosomal RNA", at positions 338 to 795 of the family's 1533-position model. The record is from RNAcentral.
CCUACGGGUGGCAGCAGUCGAGAAUCAUUCACAAUGGGCGAAAGCCUGAUGGUGUGACGCCGCGUGGAGGAUGAAGGUCUUCGGAUUGUAAACUCCUGUCAUUCAUGAGCUAUUAAUGGAAGAGGAAGAGACGGCUAACUCUGUGCCAGCAGCCGCGGUAAUACAGAGGUCUCAAGCGUUGUUCGGAAUCACUGGGCGUAAAGGGUGCGUAGGCGGAACGCCAAGUCAGAUGUGAAAGACCGGGGCUCAACCCCGGAACGGCAUCCGAUACUGGCGAUCUAGAGGGCUCGAGGGGAGUGUGGAAUUCACGGUGUAGCAGUGAAAUGCGUAGAUAUCGUGAGGAACACCAGUGGCGAAGGCGACACUCUGGAGGCACUGACGCUGAGGCACGAAGGCCAGGGGAGCGAACGGGAUUAGAUACCCUUGUAGUC